ACAGCAGCAGCCACGGGAAUACGGAGGGUGCAAGCGUUAAUCGGAAUUACUGGGCGUAAAGCGCACGCAGGCGGUCUGUCAAGUCGGAUGUGAAAUCCCCGGGCUCAACCUGGGAACUGCAUUCGAAACUGGCAGGCUAGAGUCUUGUAGAGGGGGGUAGAAUUCCAGGUGUAGCGGUGAAAUGCGUAGAGAUCUGGAGGAAUACCGGUGGCGAAGGCGGCCCCCUGGACAAAGACUGACGCUCAGGUGCGAAAGCGUGGGGAGCAAACAGGAUUAGAUACCCGUGUAGUCCCUGUCUCUUAUAC
Molecule: ribosomal RNA, 305 nt
Filed under: uncultured bacterium
Lineage: Bacteria
Description: partial 16S ribosomal RNA
Rfam family: Bacterial small subunit ribosomal RNA
Source: RNAcentral